This 517-nucleotide ribosomal RNA is filed under the name uncultured Glomus. RNAcentral's name for it is "SSU rRNA". It matches the Rfam family "Eukaryotic small subunit ribosomal RNA", at positions 579 to 1101 of the family's 1831-position model. The record is from RNAcentral. Lineage: Eukaryota; Fungi; Glomeromycota; Glomeromycetes; Glomerales; Glomeraceae.
GUAUUCCGCUCCAUAGCGUAUAUUAAAGUUGUUGCAGUUAAAAAGCUCGUAGUUGAAUUUCGGGAUCAAGGAAUCGGUCAUGCCUUGGUAUGUACUGGUUUUAUUGGUUCUCACCUUCUAAAGAACCAUAAUGUCAUUCAUUUGAUGUUAUGGGGAAUUAGGACUGUUACCUUGAAAAAAUUAGAGUGUUUAAAGCAGGCUUACGCUUGAAUACAUUAGCAUGGAAUAAUGAAAUAGGACAUCAGAUUCUAUUUUGUUGGUUUCUAGGAUCGAUGUAAUGAUUAAUAGGGAUAGUUGGGGGCAUUAGUAUUCAAUUGUCAGAGGUGAAAUUCUUGGAUUUAUUGAAGACUAACUACUGCGAAAGCAUUUGCCAAGGAUGUUUUCAUUAAUCAAGAACGAAAGUUAGGGGAUCGAAGACGAUCAGAUACCGUCGUAGUCUUAACCAUAAACUAUCCCGACUAGGGAUGGGAGGAUGUUAAUUUUAUGAUGACUCAUUCAGCACCUUACGGGAAACAAA